UACGUAGGGUGCGAGCGUUAAUCGGAAUUACUGGGCGUAAAGCGUGCGCAGGCGGUUUUGUAAGUCAGAUGUGAAAUCCCCGGGCUUAACCUGGGAACUGCAUUUGUGACUGCAUGGCUGGAGUGCGGCAGAGGGGGAUGGAAUUCCGCGUGUAGCAGUGAAAUGCGUAGAUAUGCGGAGGAACACCGAUGGCGAAGGCAAUCCCCUGGGCCUGCACUGACGCUCAUGCACGAAAGCGUGGGGAGCAAACAGG
This 253-nucleotide ribosomal RNA is filed under the name uncultured bacterium. RNAcentral's name for it is "partial 16S ribosomal RNA". It matches the Rfam family "Bacterial small subunit ribosomal RNA", at positions 524 to 776 of the family's 1533-position model. The record is from RNAcentral.